AUGAAGGGAGGACUGGCAGGCAGGAGGAAGAUCACUGAUGGCUCUCGGGAGCCCAGCAGAGAGGAGGAAAUGCUGUCUGUACUAAAGCAGGAAGGCUUGGGAAUGGAGAAGUCUACCCCGCCUCAGAGUACAGAGAACGAAGUGCAAACAGGAGCAAAGCUGUGCACAGAGCUGCUCCGAUGUCAUGGGAAGACUCCUCAAAGCCCCAGCUCUGGUAAUUCAAUGAAACACAACCAUCCUACACCACAACUGCUGGGCGCUCUCCCACGGAAUAUCCAAAGAGGACAGGAACGAGAAGAAUCAGCCAUCAAUUAUGUUUUAAAAUUUAAAAUUAAAAGAAGUAUUUAUAUUUCAUAUUUCCCUUGAUGCAAAUUUUUGACAUUUUCUAAAUUUCUACUUAUUUUGUAUAAAAAUGAGCUUAUGAUAUAAUAAAUGAUGACUCCCAUAUGUUGCAAAAACUUGGGUUUUUAUUUCAAAAAUGAGUGCAGACCCAUGCUAUAACUUUUUAAGAGCUUUAAUGGUUUCCCCAAACCAAUAAAAUUAAAAUGACAUCCCACAACGGAGUGCUCUAUUGCUGUAUCUCUUGGAUGAGAAAGAAGGAAUGGUUCAAAUGGAAGAAUGAAAGGAAAUGAAGAGAAACCAUCUGCUAAGAGGGUCAUGUGGCUAUUCAGACUAGCACUGUGUUUGUUCUGAUUCUUUAGUCCUGUGAUAUUUGACAUUUUUAUUUGUAAAUAUGAUGAGUUGAUGGCUGCAGCAAACCACCAUGGCACACGUAUACCUGUGUAACAAACCUGCACAUUCUGCACAUGUAUCCCAGAACUUAAAGUAAAAUUAAAAUAAAGAAAUAAUAAAAAUUAAAAUUAAAACAAAAAAAUCGAUGACUGGUUGAAAGGGGGAAAGUGUGAGGCCGUUUUUAUUGUGCAAAUCAUUGGUUGCUCAAGAACCUUAAACAAGACUCACCUACACCUUAGGGUCACCAACUACUAUGAAUCAGUCAUGCAUGGCAAAGUGGUUGGUGAUGCAGAAAAAGUAUUUGGUGUUAGAGCCAGUGUGACCUACAUCAUUGAAUUCUGUCAAUGGAAGGGUUAGCUCAAGUAACUGAUCCUUCAGAUUAUGUUUAUUGAUUUAUUUGGCAUUAGGAAAAAUGUUGAGAACACGAAGAAACAAG
This is a long non-coding RNA of Papio anubis (olive baboon), 1168 nucleotides long. NCBI's taxonomy places the organism in Eukaryota, Metazoa, Chordata, Mammalia, Primates, Cercopithecidae. The record is from Ensembl.